This is a long non-coding RNA of Helianthus annuus (common sunflower), 1280 nucleotides long. RefSeq lists it as uncharacterized. The transcript has 6 exons. Lineage: Eukaryota; Viridiplantae; Streptophyta; Magnoliopsida; Asterales; Asteraceae. The record is from RefSeq and is a predicted model, not a curated record.
UAUACACAUGUCCACACAAUAUAUACAAUACAAAGUCUGGGAGAGAGAGAUAGAGUAUGCGACACCGACAGACAGAGUGGCCAGCCACCGGAGCCACGGCGGAUCUGGCGGCGUUUUCUCAGCAUCGGUGAGUGUUGUACCCCUACCUACACCGCAGAAGACAAGGAAUCCGGUGAGGCGGUGCGAGCUAGGGUUCUGACGAGACUCCGGUUAACUCCUGCACGAAUUCCGUGUAUCCUUCCCAUGGCUUCCAACUCCUUACAACCCACAUAGAGAGAGAAAUGCUAAAAUAGAGAUCAAAGAACCAGAGAGAGAGAGAGGGAUGCCCGGUUACGCAACCUACAUGGUCGUCUUCUAUCCCCGCCGAAUUGCUGGUUCCGAACAAGAGACCUACGGUUCAGACGGUGGCUGUGACGAAAAACUGGGCAACGACCAGGGUUCCGACGAACAUCUGGCGACUUCCGGUUAAAUUCCGGUGAACUCCGGUGAGAAUAUUUAGAGGCUAUGUUUCAGAAGCAUAUUCUGACCAGAUCGGUGACAGACAAGAUGGGACGUCGGCGGAUAAGGGACUUUGUAGGUUUGCGUUUGUUUGCUGUAGCGUGUAUUUGAGGUAUGGUGUCCGUUGUGGCGUCCUGUUUAGCCUCCAUUGCAUAAGGUUGAAUUGUAUGGCAAAUAUGGGAUUCCUUUUGGUUUCUUGGACCCCCUUCUGUUAGCAGAGUGGAAGGAUUGAAAACAAUCAAGUUAACUCAUAUGCCGGAGACGUCUUGCCUAACCAGGUUUGCAGCAACACCAGCUUUCUAUGUUUCAGCUUUACGUCCAACGUUAACCCGUAACAACAGUAGCACUUUAUACGUAUAUGUUUUUGUGUUUUAUUUAAGUGCUUCUAAUCUCAUUGAUCAUUGGCAUUUAUCUUCUUUUUUACUUUGGUCUCUUUUUUAAAUGUGUUAUUUCCUCUAACAGGUGUAAAUCAGAUGCUUUUUUGUUGUCAAGGUUGGUCCCCUUUUAGGUACAUGUAAUAUGUUCUUCUCAAACACAUUGUCUAAAGGUGUGCUUUAAGUAAUUAUUAUUAUUUUUUAUUAUUUAGGCUUCCUUUGUUUCUACUCAAUUGUAUUGUUUUUUAUUCAUGUGUUUUAAAAGGUUUAGAUGUUGUAUAUUUAGAAGGAUGCUAAGAAAGUGACACAUCAUGGUGACGUUCUUCACCUAUUUCUCAUGGCCUGUAUUUUUUCCUAUGUUUUCAUUUGUUAUAUUUCAUAUAGACGGACUAUUCGAAAUGUCAUCAA